AAUUACAUCUGUAAAC
This 16-nucleotide unclassified non-coding RNA is filed under the name Pseudolactococcus piscium. RNAcentral describes it as "Lactococcus piscium sroB". The record is from RNAcentral. Lineage: Bacteria; Bacillati; Bacillota; Bacilli; Lactobacillales; Streptococcaceae.